Molecule: transfer RNA, 69 nt
Filed under: Roseovarius sp.
Lineage: Bacteria; Pseudomonadati; Pseudomonadota; Alphaproteobacteria; Rhodobacterales; Roseobacteraceae
Description: tRNA-Gly
Source: RNAcentral
GCGGUAUGCAACAACUUUUGCCAGCCUUCCAAGCUGGCUAUGUGGGUUCGAUUCCCAUCACCCGCUCCA